This 301-nucleotide ribosomal RNA is filed under the name uncultured bacterium. Its description in RNAcentral is "partial 16S ribosomal RNA". It matches the Rfam family "Bacterial small subunit ribosomal RNA", at positions 509 to 807 of the family's 1533-position model. The record is from RNAcentral.
CAGCCGCCGCGGUAAUACGUAGGUGGCAAGCGUUGUCCGGAAUUAUUGGGCGUAAAGGGCUCGCAGGCGGUUUCUUAAGUCUGAUGUGAAAGCCCCCGGCUCAACCGGGGAGGGUCAUUGGAAACUGGGAAACUUGAGUGCGGAAGAGGAGAGUGGAAUUCCACGUGUAGCGGCGAAAUGCGUAGAGACGUGGAGGAACACCAGUGGCGAAGGCGACUCUCUGGUCUGUAACUGACGCUGAGGAGCGAAAGCGUGGGGAGCGAACAGGAUUAGAGACCCCUGUAGUCCCUGUCUCUUAUAC